Molecule: ribosomal RNA, 461 nt
Filed under: uncultured bacterium
Lineage: Bacteria
Description: partial 16S ribosomal RNA
Rfam family: Bacterial small subunit ribosomal RNA
Source: RNAcentral
CCUACGGGAGGCAGCAGUGAGGAAUAUUGGUCAAUGGAGGCAACCCUGAACCAGCCAAGUAGCGUGCAGGAUGACGGCCCUAUGGGUUGUAAACUGCUUUUAUGCGGGGAUAAACUGAGUCACGUGUGGCUUAUUGCAGGUACCGCAUGAAUAAGGACCGGCUAACUCCGUGCCAGCAGCCGCGGUAAUCCGGAAGGUCCGGGCGUUAUCCGGGUUUAUUGGGUUUAAAGGGAGCGCAGGCCGCCCCUUAAGCGUGUUGGGGAAAGGCGCGGCUCAACCGUGGCAAUGCAGUGCGAAAUGGGGAGCCUGGAGUAGAGGGGGGUAGGGCGAAUUUGGUGGGUAGUGGUGAAAUGCUUAGAAAACACGAAGAAAGCCGAUUGCGAAGGGAGCCUAACGAAGCGUUAAUGGAGCUGAGGGUCGAAGGUGCGGGUAACGAAAAGGAAUAGAAAACCCGAGUAGUC